This 468-nucleotide ribosomal RNA is filed under the name uncultured bacterium. RNAcentral's name for it is "partial 16S ribosomal RNA". It matches the Rfam family "Bacterial small subunit ribosomal RNA", at positions 28 to 507 of the family's 1533-position model. The record is from RNAcentral.
GACGAACGCUGGCGGCGUGCUUAACACAUGCAAGUCGAACGGAAAGGCCCUGCUUUUGUGGGGUGCUCGAGUGGCGAACGGGUGAGUAACACGUGAGUAACCUGCCCUUGACUUUGGGAUAACUUCAGGAAACUGGGGCUAAUACCGGAUAGGAGCUCCUGCUGCAUGGUGGGGGUUGGAAAGUUUCGGCGGUUGGGGAUGGACUCGCGGCUUAUCAGCUUGUUGGUUGGGUAGUGGCUUACCAAGGCUUUGACGGGUAGCCGGCCUGAGAGGGUGACCGGCCACAUUGGGACUGAGCUACGGCCCAGACUCCUACGGGAGGCAGGAGUGGGGAAUAUUGCACAAUGGGCGGAAGCCUGAUGCAGCCACGCCGCGUGCGGGAUGACGGCCUUCGGGUUGUAAACCGAUUUCGCCUGUGACGAAGCGUGAGUGACGGUAAUGGGUAAAGAAGCACCGGCUAACUACGUG